ACAUGCAGAGCCUGGACGUGAUGAAGAAUGGCUGGAACCAGACCCUGAGCCUGAGGAGGAGCAUCAGAGGCCGGAGCAUGAUGGUGAAGGUCAGGAGCUUGAACCAGUGCUUGAUGAAGACCCUCCCACACCUGAACUGGAAUCCGAGUCAGAAUUGGAAUCCGAGCCUGAAUCUGACCCAGGGUCAGCCCCCACCCCCCGUAGAAGCCAGAGGUCAAAUGCAGGCCAACAUCCCAAUCUCCAUCAAGAGCCAAAGUCAGUGCUAGACUCUAGUCCAGCUGCAGUCUCUCAGAUGAUCGCUACUUUAGGCACAGCAUUCAUUAAGGAGGUUGCAAGAGAAGUUAUAAAACUAUUAGUAGUCACCGAGGCCGUUGACUAUUAAGCAGGGGAGAAUGUAACCGGGUCAUAUUUUGAGGUUGUUGUAUGUUUUCUAAGUGGUAAUGGGACAUGUCUCCUUUAAAUGCCAGAAAACUACAUUGCAUCAUGUUGUAGUUCCUGGGUUGGUAUGUGGUGAAUUCUGGGUAUUAAGACUGGGGCGAGAACGCAGUGCAUCAGAGAAGGUGGCUGGCGUGAGGGAUAUUUGGUGAUACUUGGUUAAUAUUGCUGGUAAGUGGGACAUUUGUCUUAAAAUACUUUAAUAACCAUGCAAUUGUAUAUAUCAUUGAUUUAUAUGAAUGGAUGAGUUCGUUUGGGAAAGAAUGUUUGUGGAUUCUGGCAGCAUGUGGAUUAGCCCAGUCGCUCUGUCAUUUGGGGAUGUAGCUAAAUUUAAGUUUACAUUUGUGAAAUACAAUUCCGUUUUGGCUAUAGAGUGAAGAGUAUGAGGUGAUGUAGUUAGUGUAGAUGUAUUUUGUAGGAAAUUAAGUUGCAUACAGGCUGUAUUAAAGUGAAUUGUCAUGUUUCACCUAGCAGACAUAUAGCCAUAGUGGUAUCCUGGGAGCACACGUGUGUGGAGGAUAGAGAUGUGUGCGUGUUAGGAACAUUAUCACCACUACCGUUUUGUAUUGCUGAACCUUACUUUCAUUUAUUUUCUUAUACGGCUAGUUGAGCUACAGAGUUGGGAUAGGCUUAGCUUGUGUACAGGUUAGUUUAUCAUAUAAGAUUUCUAUUUGAUGUCAUUUUAUUUUUGUACUUUUCUAUACAAAUCUUUUGUUUUAUAUAUCUAUCAGAUAAAGAACCCUUACUCUUAA
Long non-coding RNA from Clupea harengus (Atlantic herring), 1187 nucleotides. RefSeq lists it as uncharacterized. Lineage: Eukaryota; Metazoa; Chordata; Actinopteri; Clupeiformes; Clupeidae. The record is from RefSeq and is a predicted model, not a curated record. The transcript is spliced from 2 exons.